AGAGUUUGAUCCUGGCUCAGGAUGAACGCUAGCUACAGGCUUAACACAUGCAAGUCGAGGGGAAACGACAUCGAAAGCUUGCUUUUGAUGGGCGUCGACCGGCGCACGGGUGAGUAACGCGUAUCCAACCUGCCCACCACUUGGGGAUAACCUUGCGAAAGUAAGACUAAUACCCAAUGACGUCUCUAGAAGACAUCUGAAAGAGAUUAAAGAUUUAUCGGUGAUGGAUGGGGAUGCGUCUGAUUAGCUUGUUGGCGGGGUAACGCCACAAGGCGACGAUCAGGUAGGGUUCUGAGAGGAAGGUCCCCCANAUUGGAACUGAGACACGGUCCAAACUCCUACGGGAGCA
This 349-nucleotide ribosomal RNA is filed under the name uncultured bacterium. Its description in RNAcentral is "bacterial SSU rRNA". It matches the Rfam family "Bacterial small subunit ribosomal RNA", at positions 8 to 349 of the family's 1533-position model. The record is from RNAcentral.